RNAcentral lists this ribosomal RNA (186 nucleotides) under Chloroflexota bacterium. RNAcentral describes it as "Chloroflexi bacterium partial 16S ribosomal RNA". It matches the Rfam family "Bacterial small subunit ribosomal RNA", at positions 1 to 178 of the family's 1533-position model. Lineage: Bacteria; Bacillati; Chloroflexota. The record is from RNAcentral.
UUUAACGGAGAGUUUGAUCCUGGCUCAGGAUUAACGCUGGCGGCGUGCCUGACACAUGCAAGUCGAACGGGUGUUAGUUGCCCGCAAGGGUGACUAACGCUAGUGGCGGACGGGUGAGUAACACGUGGGCAACCUGCCUGAGAGUGCAGAAUAACCCUGCGAAAGCAGAGCUAAUACUGCAUGUGG